GAUGAAGAACGUAGCGAAAUGCGAUACGUAAUGUGAAUUGCAGAAUUCAGUGAAUCAUCGAAUCUUUGAACGCAUAUUGCGCUCUCUGGCAUUCCGGAGAGCAUGCUUGUUUGAGUAUCAGUAAACACCUCAACUCCCUUUUCUUUUUUGAAAUUGGAGCUGGACUUGAGUGAUCCCAACGCUUUCUUCCAAGAAAGUGGCGGGUUGCUUGAAAUGCAGGUGCAGCUGAACUUUUCUCUGAGCUAUAAGCAUAUCUAUUUAGUCUGCCUAAAAAACAGAUUAUUACCUUUGCUGCAGCUAACAUAAAGGAGACUAGUUCUUGUGCUGACUGAUGCAGGAUUCACAGAGACAGCUUCGGCUGACUUUGUAAACUCGAUCUCAAAUCAAGUAAGACUACCCGCUGAACUUAAGCAUAUCAAUAAGCGGAGGA
RNAcentral lists this unclassified non-coding RNA (430 nucleotides) under soil metagenome. Its description in RNAcentral is "partial contains 5.8S ribosomal RNA, internal transcribed spacer 2, and large subunit ribosomal RNA". The stretch from base 1 to 120 matches the Rfam family "5.8S ribosomal RNA", at positions 35 to 154 of the family's 154-position model. The record is from RNAcentral.